This is an RNA transcript of Homo sapiens (human), 2742 nucleotides long. It is a transcript of the gene named small integral membrane protein 11B, with no coding region annotated. The transcript is spliced from 4 exons. NCBI's taxonomy places the organism in Eukaryota, Metazoa, Chordata, Mammalia, Primates, Hominidae. The record is from RefSeq and is marked validated.
CCCGGGCGGGGCCCAGGAUUGGUUCAAGCCUACGGUGUUGGUCCCCGGAGAGUCUAGGGAGACAAGCAAUCCCCUGGAAUGGUGGGGGAAGCGAUGACAGCCCCUGGUCCUCAUCCGCAGCUCUGGGGGAAGUCGGGGGGUGGGGAGGGCGGGUGUUGCUCCCUGAGUGUUGGGGGAAGGGUAUGGGGAGAGGACCCUGAACUAGCCCCCAGGUUACCCAGGAGGAGCUGAGGCCCAGAGAGGUUCAGCGACUCGCCCAGGGUUGCACAGCGAGCACAGGCACCGACGUCGCCCUCCGAGGCCUGGGCUUCCAGCAGGGAGAGACCCGGACACCUGUCAUCGCUUCUCGGUGGAUCCCUGAAAUAUCAGACCUUCCAGCUGCCUCUCAUGUACUUGUCUGUUGGGGGCUUGUGUUGAUCAGGAGUGAAUUCACAGUCUACCAUGAAUUGGAAGGUCCUAACUGGGACCACCUACUCCCCUUGGAGGGUCCGGAUGGAGUUUCCCCUCUGCGGCUGCCUCUCACUCAUCCUCCACCACUUUGCCGACAAGGAAGGAAGGACAAUCGGGAGGAGGGAGUCUUGCUUGGCGACCAUCUGGACAAUAUCUCGCCCAUGGCAAGCUGGAUCCCUGUGGAUUACUUUGGUGGGUGGAAACUUGGCACACUAUUUAAUUUGGGCUUUUUGGGGGAUGACUGCACACUGGUUCUCUUUUUUUCUCAGACCUAAAUUUCGACCACUCAACUUUCAGCCUGCUCACCCCUGCUUAUUGCCAUCCACCUUUGGGCUGGGUUAGACCUAAUCCUCCCCUUGACAAAGCCCUCAAAGUAGCCUUCACAAGAUAAGAGUCGAGACCCCUAACUUACCAACAAAUUUUAAUGAAACUUCUAGUAAACUCAAAGCGCUUUGCCAACAUCCUUAGGAGCAACCCAGUUCUCGCAGCACCCCAUGUGAGGUCGCUGUUGAAGUAUCUUUGGCUGCAGUGGUGUGGAAUUCAUCUCAACAGAGUUGACGGUAAAGACCAGACAUGUAGCAGCCUCACUGCUUGUUGGAGGAACCACCCUUAAGAAAAUUUCCCAAGAUAGUAGUUUUCCCAUCUCCGUACUUUGCUAGUUAAUGUUCUCCACUUGCUUGCGUUUAUCCUUUCAAUUCCUUUGCUAAUUAAAUUGCUGAAAAGUAUACAUUGGUAAGAAUAGCCACUGUCAAUGGACUGCAAACAAAACUCGUUUCUGUUAUUGAUGAUAAACCAUUUCAGAGAAGACCAGGCUGAGUCUAAAGGGUUCAGAUAAUUACAAGGGGAAGGCAGAGAGAGUAGUUCAUGGCCACAGGACUUGGCCACCUCUGGGCAACACAUAAUGCUUGCUAAGCUAAUGACUGUAGGGAUAUAGAACUGGCCCUCAGCCUCUCUGUCUUCCUUUGGCCUCUGCUCUUCCUGCUGCCUUCUCUCUUUGACCACGAUGACACACUUUCCAUAGGCCUUCCUCACCACAUCACAGAACUCAGAGAAGAGGCUGUCUUCUUGUUUGAUACACAGCUCGUCUCUUAGGAACACCCGAUAUUUCCAAGGCACCCAUCCUUGACUACCCGCAGCAUGCACAAUACACCAAGUUGGGGUUUGUAUGAAAUAUCCAUCACUAAUAUCUUCCCCAGUUACGAGACUUUCUGGGAUAUUGGUUUCCCCAAAAUAUACGGUCUUAAAUCCAUCAUAUUGCAGUGUUCUCAGGGUUUUCAGAUAUUGGAGGCAUUGCUUCCUCUUGAUGCCAUCAAAUUGACUUCUGAUAAUGACAUUUCUUAAAAGAGGGCUUGCAAAGCGAGGCAUGGUGGCUUCUCAAGUGUUUUUAAAAGCUUGCACAUCUGCAUCUGGGGAGAGAUGGCAAGUGGGGGAUGAUGACCUCAUAAAGGGCUUUCUUACAGUGGUGCCAGUCCCACACAUACACUUCAGAUUUCAAGCAUCAUGGAAUAAAUACUCAGAACAACUCCCUGCUGACCCAUAAAAUAUGGGAAUUGCAGAUGCUACCCAUAAAAAUGCUACUUUGACAUCACUUCUGCAAUAGGUCUGAGACAGAGAGCUAAAGACAUUUCAUAAAAUGGGCAUGAAGGAUUCCUUCAAAUGAAGACGUGGACAAAAUGAUUGGUCAGGUCCUUUGCUCUACUGUUGAAUGGAGGAGGAUUUUUUUUUUUUUUCCCUCACACAGGGGUUUUCUUGGAGCUCAAGUUUGGAUGACCCCAGACAGUAAGAUAAUCUCAUCAUGGUAAAGUUAAUAUGAAAUAUGUGGUCUCCAAACAGCCUCUCCCAGAGGCCAGGAUCAGCAGGUUUGAGUGGAUAAUUGGCUUGUGGUCAUUUUCUCAUAGGAUUUUUCUUUUAGUAGUGGAAACUGUUUUUCAAAUCAAAUUUGGAUGCCAACUAUGUGGAACAGAAGUGUGGCUGCUCUGGUGGAAGUGGCAAUGGUAGUCCUAGAGUCUCCCUGUCAGCCACACCCUUUGUCUCCCCCUACCCAAGGGACCCUGUGGCCUGGAACCGCAGUGUGAAAUGCUAUAUAGUGCAAUGAAGUCAAUUCGAAGACAAGAGUUCUUUGCCUUUCUCAUCUAAUUUUUAGUUAUGGAUAUGAGACGCUUGUUCAGAAGUAUGGAAAAGUAUAUAUAAUAUGUUAUCUUUUAGAUGUGGGUGUAAAUAUGCUUAUGUAUGCAAUAUGCUUAUAUUUUAACGCAUAAACAACAUGAAUAAAGCAAACACUCUAGACUUCUC